This 1306-nucleotide ribosomal RNA is filed under the name uncultured bacterium. Its description in RNAcentral is "partial 16S ribosomal RNA". It matches the Rfam family "Bacterial small subunit ribosomal RNA", at positions 53 to 1353 of the family's 1533-position model. The record is from RNAcentral.
ACAUGCAGUCGAGCGGGGAAGGUUGGCUUGCUACCUGACCUAGCGGCGGACGGGUGAGUAAUGCUUAGGAAUCUGCCUAUUAGUGGGGGACAACAUUUCGAAAGGAAUGCUAAUACCGCAUACGCCCUACGGGGGAAAGCAGGGGAUCUUCUGACAUUGCGCUUAUAUAUGAGACCUCAUGUGAUUACCUAGUUUUUGGGGUAUAGGCCUAUAACGGCGACCAUCUGUAACGGGUCUUAGAGGAUGAUACACCGCACUGGGACUGACACACAGCCCACACUCCUACAGAAGGCAGCAGUGGGGAGUAUUGUACAAUCUGCGAAAAUCUGAUCCAGCCUUACCGAGUGUGUGAAGAAGGCCUUUUGGUUGUAUCGCACUUUAAACGAGGAGGAGGCUACUUAAAUUAAUACUCUAAGAUAGUGGACAUCACUCGCAGAAAAAUCACCGGAUAACUCUGUGCCAGCACCCGCGGUAAUACACAGGGUGCGAUAGUUACUCUGAUUUAUAGGGAGUAUAGCGUGCGUAAGCGGCUUCUUAUGUCUGAUGUGAAAUCCACUGAGCUUAACUUAGGAAUUGCAUUCAAUACUGGGAAGCUANAGUANGGGAGAGNAUGGUNGAAUUCNNNGUGUANCNGUGNAAUGCGUANAGAUCUGGANGAAUANCGAUGGCGAAGGNAGCCAUNUGGCNUANUACUGACNCUNAGGUACNAAAGCNNGGGGAGCNNACAGGAUUANAUACCCUGNUAGUCNNUGCCGUAAACGAUGUCUACUAGCCGUUGGGGCCUUUGAGGCUUUAGUGGCGCAGCUAACGCGAUAAGUAGACCGCCUGGGGAGUACGGUCGCAAGACUAAAACUCAAAUGAAUUGACGGGGGCCCGCACAAGCGGUGGAGCAUGUGGUUUAAUUCGAUGCAACGCGAAGAACCUUACCUGGUCUUGACAUAGUAAGAACUUUCCAGAGAUGGAUUGGUGCCUUCGGGAACUUACAUACAGGUGCUGCAUGGCUGUCGUCAGCUCGUGUCGUGAGAUGUUGGGUUAAGUCCCGCAACGAGCGCAACCCUUUUCCUUAUUUGCCAGCGGGUUAAGCCGGGAACUUUAAGGAUACUGCCAGUGACAAACUGGAGGAAGGCGGGGACGACGUCAAGUCAUCAUGGCCCUUACGACCAGGGCUACACACGUGCUACAAUGGUCGGUACAAAGGGUUGCUACCUAGCGAUAGGAUGCUAAUCUCAAAAAGCCGAUCGUAGUCCGGAUUGGAGUCUGCAACUCGACUCCAUGAAGUCGGAAUCGCUAGUAAUCGCGGAUCAGA